This is an RNA transcript of Anopheles coustani, 2145 nucleotides long. It is a transcript of the gene named zinc finger and BTB domain-containing protein 49-like, with no coding region annotated. The transcript has 5 exons. The record is from RefSeq and is a predicted model, not a curated record. Lineage: Eukaryota; Metazoa; Arthropoda; Insecta; Diptera; Culicidae.
UUUGUAGAUUGUUGGUAAACAAGUGUAAGCACUUCGGCAGUAAGUAGUCUGCUUCACGAUUUGUUGAGGUUUCCUGAAAAUCUUCCUAUAAUAAAGUACUUUAGAUGUAGUUUUGUCAACUAAACUGGUUUUGAAACUAUAGUAAACGUUAUUGGAAUGACUGCUAAGACUAUUCAAUUACGAGAAAAGUGCCGCUUUUGUCUGUGUUCAGAUGAUCUUUUAUCUUUUUCGGAAGCAUUAAAUACGGCAUUCGACUUCGAAGAUGUCCGGCAUUUCACCGGCAUUGAGAUGGCCAAAGAUGCAGACAUUGCAGUUUGCUAUGAGUGUUGUACAUCAAUCAACGAAUCAAAGAAUUUCCGGCUCACUUGUUUGCGUAAUGAUUCGAUUUUUAAAAGGCUUAUGUGUCUAGAUGAUAGAAGCACUACGCACAAUAUAACAAUAGCACGUGCUGCUCCAAAAGACGAAGUGAAGAGUGAACAUGAUGUAAUAACAUUGGACGAUUCGGAAUCCGAUGAUUCUUCUUCGCAUUUGGGGCAGCCUGUAUCAGACGACAAAAAUACUCUUUUCCAUGACGAAAACCAAUCGAAUUAUGAACACGGAAAAACCUAUACCUACGAACAAUCAAGACACGGGUCCGAUACCGACGGACAUUCCGGAAAAUUAGAUGGGAAUGAUUCCGAUUAUUCUAUGCCUUCUCUAUUCGAUGAAACUACUCACAAACCCUCGAAGGAUGCAGAUAUGCAACAAUCCUUGGACGCUGAGUCGAUGAUCGGAACCAAAAUAGAGAAAAGUGCAGAAUGUGCCACUGACGUUCGCAGAGAAAAUUCAAAAACGGAUUGCACAUGCAUCAGUCGUAAUAAAGAAUCUUCCACGAACUGGUCAAGAAGAAAAAGAAUAGUCCUAGAUCCCAAUGACUCGGAUGAUUCUAUAACUUCGCUUUACACUGAAUGCAAUAGAAAACGUUCUGGCACGCGUCAUUUAAUUACUACCUGUCCAGUGCAUGCCACUAGUAGUGAUUCAGCUUUGUCUUUACGGCGUCAUCAUGUAUUAUGUCAUCUUUGCGGAGCUAUCGUCGAUAGAAUGAAACGCCAUUUAGAUGGCGCUCACGGCGGUGAAAAAACGAUUGCAUGUCCAUUCUGUCCGAAAAAGUUUGCGGAACCAUACCACCUUAAACCACAUAUUAAUACAUGGCAUGAGAGGAAAAUAAUUUUAACCUGUUCAAUAUGCGGAAAGGGAUUUGUCAAUGAAGGCAGCUACACAUAUCAUAUGACAAACAAACACGUUAAAAGCGAUCUGUAUGAGUGUACAACAUGCAAAAGGAAACUGAAAUCUUGGGACGGGUACAAAAAACAUCUGAAGGAACAUUCAUUGACUGCUCUGAAGUGCGAGGAUUGCGGCAGGCUGUAUAAAAAUAUGGUCACGUUAGAGAAACAUAAACUUCGUUAUCACUCAUCGUAGCGACAGCUACGGUACUGAGUUGCUUUAUUCCAACAGUUAUUCACUUGUUGUAAAGAAGCAUGAAAUGUAAAGCAAAUCUAUACCAAUCCAGGGCGUACGAGAGGACUGACUAUCCACGUACAACAAGGAAACAAGUCUCGGCAAAAAAUGCUAAAGAUUGUUUCAGAACAACCUCAGCACGGACUUAUAUUGAAUUUAUCUGGUCGAAUCAAGCUGUAAAUUUUCAUGUAUUUUACGCCAAAUGUUUGGUUCUUUUCUUAGGAAAUAUUUAUCUCCUCCGCGAUUACCGUGUAAUUUUAGUUUUUUGUACAUUUAAUUUUGCGGAUAAGUCACGCAACAAAUGGUUUUUAUCUCAAGCGAAGUUGCACGUAUGACAAAGGUUUGGUUGAAAAGAAAAUGGAGUUUAAAAACUCGCUUUUAUUGGUACAGUAUCAAUAUUCGUGGACAAAUGGCUUGAACAGGAAUUUUGAUUGCUUUUGCGUGUAACUGAAUAUUGCUUUUUCUUUACUUUACUCAUAAAGAUUUCGGAGCUGGCCUAAGUGUGUAACUAACUGUUGUUCUGAUUUCAACGAUUAUUUAUUUCGACGCGAACGGUUCCAAAUAUAAUAAAUACGCGAAUCGCGCUAGGUUUUCUUUUCAGGUCGCUGUUGCGGUUGCUUGGUCAGGCGACGUCGCGUUACGCUCAAA